This 73-nucleotide transfer RNA is filed under the name Aliivibrio sp. Its description in RNAcentral is "tRNA-Ala". It matches the Rfam family "tRNA". Rfam says of the family: Transfer RNA (tRNA) molecules are approximately 80 nucleotides in length. Their secondary structure includes four short double-helical elements and three loops (D, anti-codon, and T loops). Further hydrogen bonds mediate the characteristic L-shaped molecular structure. tRNAs have two regions of fundamental functional importance: the anti-codon, which is responsible for specific mRNA codon recognition, and the 3' end, to which the tRNAs corresponding amino acid is attached (by aminoacyl-tRNA synthetases). tRNAs cope with the degeneracy of the genetic code in two manners: having more than one tRNA (with a specific anti-codon) for a particular amino acid; and 'wobble' base-pairing, i.e. permitting non-standard base-pairing at the 3rd anti-codon position. The record is from RNAcentral. Lineage: Bacteria; Pseudomonadati; Pseudomonadota; Gammaproteobacteria; Vibrionales; Vibrionaceae.
GGGAGCGUAGUUUAGUUGGUAGAACGCAUGCUUUGCACGCAUGAGGUCAUCGGUUCAAAUCCGGUCGUUUCCA